This 522-nucleotide long non-coding RNA is filed under the name Helianthus annuus (common sunflower). Its description in RNAcentral is "sRNA HanXRQr2_Chr06g0242621". The record is from RNAcentral. Lineage: Eukaryota; Viridiplantae; Streptophyta; Magnoliopsida; Asterales; Asteraceae.
UGAUUAGCCUUUUCGCAAUCUGAAACCCUAGUUCCCAAAUCCAUCUAUUCUCACCUUUUCCAAUUUGUUACUUUGAUUCGCAAUGGCUCGUACGAAGUAGACCGCUCGUAAGUCCACCGGUGGAAAGGCUCAAAGGAAGCAACUUGCUACCAAGGAAAUCUGCUCCAACAACCGGAGGAGUGAAGAAGCCUCAUCGUUAUCGUUCUGGAACUGUCGCACUACGGUGAAUUGGCCAAACAUGUUGUUUCUGAGGGUACUAAGGCUGUUACCAAGUUUACUAGCGCUUAGAGGAGAUUGGUUUGUUGGGUUAGGUUUUGCUUGGUUUAUGUAACUGGAUUUUGGUAAUUUGAUGUAAAGCUAGUUAAUGUUCAUUUAUUAGUUUGACGUAAAUGAAAGGAAGAAUAGAAUUGUUCUCAGAUAAUCCGCCAUAAAAUGUUCUUUAAUGUUGAAAUUAGGUGUAUUUUAAUUUUAUGGGUUUGUAUAUCAAGUCAUGUUGGUUUUUUAUAUUUAUUAAAGAUUUGA